GGAUUUCAAUUGGAUACCCAUAUAAAGCUUGUUUAGCUGGGACCAAGAAUGUCUCAAGGUUGUAGGCCUAACUGCUGUUGAAGGAAUGGAAUACGCGGUCUUCCUUCUUACUUCUUAGCAAGAUCAACUGCUAUUUCAGCUGUUGGAGGAAGGCUAUAAGGGAGAAAUGGUUUCAAUGGCCAGAGACCCCCGAAACUCGUCCUUUUAAUACCCACAGAUGCGCCUUCUCGAGCCCUUUUGAUUUGAGGCAGAUAAUGCCCUAGGCCUUC
RNAcentral lists this unclassified non-coding RNA (269 nucleotides) under Hevea brasiliensis (rubber tree). Lineage: Eukaryota; Viridiplantae; Streptophyta; Magnoliopsida; Malpighiales; Euphorbiaceae. The record is from RNAcentral.